Molecule: ribosomal RNA, 253 nt
Filed under: uncultured bacterium
Lineage: Bacteria
Description: partial 16S ribosomal RNA
Rfam family: Bacterial small subunit ribosomal RNA
Source: RNAcentral
UACGGAGGGGACUAGCGUUGUUCGGAAUUACUGGGCGUAAAGCGCACGUAGGCGGAUUUGUAAGUCAGGGGUGAAAUCCCGGGGCUCAACCUCGGAACUGCCUUUGAUACUGCAAAUCUCGAGUCCGGAAGAGGUGAGUGGAAUUCCUAGUGUAGAGGUGAAAUUCGUAGAUAUUAGGAAGAACACCAGUGGCGAAGGCGGCUCACUGGUCCGGUACUGACACUGAAAAGCGAAAGCCAGGGGAGCAAACGGG